Molecule: ribosomal RNA, 774 nt
Filed under: uncultured bacterium
Lineage: Bacteria
Description: bacterial SSU rRNA
Rfam family: Bacterial small subunit ribosomal RNA
Source: RNAcentral
CAGGCUUAACACAUGCAAGUCGAGGGGCAUCGGGGUUGUAGCAAUACAACUGCCGGCGACCGGCGCACGGGUGAGUAACACGUAUGUAACCUGCCCUCUGCAGGGGGAUAAGCGGAAGAAAUUCCGUCUAAUACCGCAUAAUACAAUUUGGAGACAUCUCCGGGUUGUCAAAGGAGUGAUCCGGCAGAGGAUGGACAUGCGGCGCAUUAGCUAGUCGGCGGGGUAACGGCCCACCGAGGCUACGAUGCGUAGGGGUUCUGAGAGGAAGGUCCCCCACACUGGUACUGAGACACGGACCAGACUCCUACGGGAGGCAGCAGUGAGGAAUAUUGGUCAAUGGGCGGAAGCCUGAACCAGCCAAGUCGCGUGAGGGAAGACGGUCCUAUGGAUUGUAAACCUCUUUUGCAGGGGAGCAAGGCGCGGUACGUGUACCGCGAAGGAGAGUACCCUGAGAAAAAGCAUCGGCUAACUCCGUGCCAGCAGCCGCGGUAAUACGGAGGAUGCGAGCGUUAUCCGGAUUUAUUGGGUUUAAAGGGUGCGCAGGCGGACUGUUAAGUCAGCGGUAAAAUGUCGGUGCUCAACACCGGCCGGCCGUUGAAACUGGCAGCCUUGAGUGAGCGAGAAGUAUGCGGAAUGCGUGGUGUAGCGGUGAAAUGCAUAGAUAUCACGCAGAACUCCGAUUGCGAAGGCAGCAUACCGGCGCUCAACUGACGCUCAGGCACGAAAGCGUGGGUAUCGAACAGGCUUAGAUACCCUGGUAGUCCACGCAGUAAA